RNAcentral lists this ribosomal RNA (512 nucleotides) under Berotha sp. EH-2004. RNAcentral describes it as "partial 16S ribosomal RNA". It matches the Rfam family "Bacterial large subunit ribosomal RNA", at positions 1831 to 2597 of the family's 2925-position model. The record is from RNAcentral. Lineage: Eukaryota; Metazoa; Arthropoda; Insecta; Neuroptera; Berothidae.
UUUUUGAAUUUAAUAAAAAGUCUGACCUGCCCACUGAAUAAAUUUUAAAGGGCCGCGGUAUUUUGACUGUGCAAAGGUAGCAUAAUCAUUUGUCUUUUAAUUGGAGGCUAGAAUGAAUGGUUAAAUGAAGUAUUAACUGUCUCAUUUUAAUAAGUAUAAAAAUUUAAUUUUUUAGUUAAAAAGCUAAAAUGUUAUUAAAGGACGAGAAGACCCUAUAAAUCUUUAUUUAUUUAUAUAAAUUUAAUAUUAGAUUAUAAUUAUUAAUUAUUUAUAAAUAAAUUUUAUUGGGGUGAUAGGAAAAUUAAUCAAACUUUUUUUUAUUUUAAACUAUUGAUUUAUAAAUUAUUGAUCCAUUAUUAAUGAUUAUAAGAUUAAGAUACUUUAGGGAUAACAGCGUAAUUUUUUUAGAGAGUUCUUAUCGAUAAAAAAGAUUGCGACCUCGAUGUUGAAUUAAAAUUAAAUUUUAAAUGUAGCAGUUUAAGAUAUUAGGUCUGUUCGACCUUUAAAUUUUU